This is a long non-coding RNA of Apis cerana (Asiatic honeybee), 8379 nucleotides long. RefSeq lists it as uncharacterized. The record is from RefSeq and is a predicted model, not a curated record. NCBI's taxonomy places the organism in Eukaryota, Metazoa, Arthropoda, Insecta, Hymenoptera, Apidae.
UUCUAAUCUUCCUACAGAUAUUUCAAUCAUGUUUACAGAAUUUUAGCCAUCUCGAUAUUUUUAUUACAUUUAAUAAUAAGGUGUGUAAUAAAUAAUUUUAGUACAAAGAAUUCAUAUUCAUUUAAAAUUGUAAUAAAUUCCAAAUAAAUUUAAAAGCUAGCAAUGUGUUGCAUCAAGAAUGCUUUCAUUAGUCCCAUUUCCAGAGGAAAUAUUCGAGAAUUGUAUCGAUAAGCACAAACAAAGGUUAUAAAAGAUUCAGAGAAAAGAAAACAAAAGAAGAGCUGCCAUUUUGAAGGAACCUAUUUUCACGGGCUGAGAUAAAAGUCUACGAGAAGAAAGACAGACAGAGGAAGGCAAUUUCUCCUAAAAGGCUGUUAUCCCGCGGCUUCGAUUCCUUUCGAGGAUAGACACGACCCGUAUAGAAGUUUUAAUGGCGGAAAAUGGCUAGUGACGGAUCUCUCUUGCACAGUGCGGACCUUAACUCAGCACUUUACACCGAGCACCUAUCUCUUCUAUCAUUCUCAUCAACGUCCAAUUAACUAUAUGAAGAUUAUCACGGCAGUAACUUCAAAUGAGCCGCUCGAUGAACCAUGUCUCUCGCGUUUCGAAUACGAGAACUUUGGUUUUGAGGGAAAAGAGAUGGAAAUUUUGAAAUUUUUAGAAGAUCGAGGGUUCUUGGCGUUCUUAGUAAUUAGAUGACUGAUGUUAAUUUUCGGUGUGUUAAUAUUGCAUUGAAAAAAAAAAAACAAAUCAUUUCAAAGCAAAUUUUACAUGAAGACUUCUACGAGAGAAAUUUUUCUUCUAUGAGAGAAACAGACAUACCAGAAUGAAAAAUCAAAUUAUUAAACGUUUAAAAAUUUCAAAAAUUAAUUUUUGCAUAUUGAAUGCGCUUUCUUAUAAAAAAACAAAAGAAAAGAAAUUUACAAUGGUUUUGAAGAGGGAAUCUACUAUUCCUCUGAUUGCCUGGUAAGAACUGGUAAGAAAUCCGACUAAUUUCUCGAAUUCCGCGACAACACGGAAGAAAACAGAAAAAUGGGAUGAGAAGGAGCUGACCCAUUUGGCGGUAGAAUGGCCUAAGGGGGUUGGAAAAGAGAUAGCGAGUGGAAAUAGGCGAGAAAAAAGGGCAAACCCGUGUGUACGGAACACGCGGGUAUCUUUUGUCGCCGAUCUGGCCACCGGCGUCUCGGCAUAAUUAAAAUUCUACAGACUCGCCCCGGAAGUUUGGACCACCUCCAAAAUGCUCGAACCAAGUUACUCCAUGGAUCGAUCCGAAGGCGAAUCUUCUGUCUGUGACAUCGCUGCUGUUGAAUGAAGGGAGCUGCGAUGGGAAAGUUAAGUGUACCAAAGAAAAUCAAGGAGAAAUUGUUUGGCCAAGCUUACGUUAGAAUGAGAAUGAUUGAUCGAUCGACGUGAUAUUGACGGCCUUGACGGGGUUUUUUGAACGAUGGUUCAUGAUAUUUUGUGAUGGGAAAUUUAAUAGUUACAGCAAUGUACUUGGCAGUUUGUAAUUUUUUUAUUUUCUUCAAGUUUCAGACGAUUUGUAAUUGUUUGAAUUAAUUUGUUAGAAUGAUGAGAUUAAUUAGAGGAAGUAUUAGAAACUUAGAUGAGUAAUAGAAUAGAAAGGUAAUGAUUUUAAUGUUUUUAAUGCGAAUGGUGAUUUAAUCAUCGAGGUAAUUUAAUCACGAUGAGCAAAAUUUUUCAAUUAUGCAUUUCUAUUGAAUCACGUUAAGUCAAUGAUCGUAUUGCUGUUUGAGAAAUUGGAUAUUACGUUGAAAAUUGAGAAAUACUUUCGAAUGUAUCGUGAUAUUAAGAGAAAGGUAGAUUUUAUAGAACGGAUAGGAGACCAAAUGCUAAGCCAUUUAAUUGGUUAAAUAUUUUAUUUGAGGAAUCUUGGGAGAGAGGAUUCCCAGAAAUUGGCCGCUUCGAGCAAAUAUUGAGAUAGGCCUCGUAAAUGGUUCUGCUCGUUUAAAAGGAAACGUGAUGAUGCAACACGUACAACUUUCCAUCUGAUCCCAGAUUUCAUGUCACAGAGUAAAAAUCAGAAGAAAGAAAAAUUAUAAAGAAAAAUUACAAAUAUACGAUCCAGGAUUUAAGAAUCUUUCGAAAGAAGAAUAACAAAUUAAUUUUACGUUCAAUAAAAGGAUUAAGAAAUAAAACAAAUUGAUACAGAUACUCGUGUUAGCUUGUCCCUGGAAAAACGCGACGAAAGGGAUUGUCGUAGCUGCUGAUCGCACAGUUUCUCGGUUACAUUGGUGUAACCGGUUCUCCAAGACUCCUCGUCGAGUCUCUUUGUAUCGGGCGAGGCCUGGAUUCGUGCCGUUCAAGCGAUUUUUAUUAAACGACGCGGUUGAGAGAAUACAUUGUUUGUCGCGAAUUGCGCCUCUUGUGGUGAGAGCUAACCCCAGUCCUACGCCCUCUUCUUCCCUUGUAAUUGCUGACUGGUAAAUUGCUUCGAAGAAAAAUUAAUUUGCGUUACACUUAAUUGUGAUGGAACACUUAAUCAUUAAUUUAAAUUUAAAAAUCAAAAAUUCCAGAAUCGUGAAUGUUCUUCGAUUUGAGGAUAAGAAUAUUCUAUAAAACUCUUUAAGUCGAAGUUUCAAAUUUUCUUCAAAUUAUAUUUAUAGUACAGAUAGAAGCUUUUUUUUAAAAGCCUCGAAACAAUUUUCGCCUUAUCAAACGGAGAACCAGAUAUCUUUGCCACCCACAAUCUGUUCCUUCCCAUAAUUCAACCCUCAUAAUUCCCCACCAAAUACAUUCUAAAAUCGCUCGUUCAGCACCCAUAUCCCCUUUUCGCAAUCUCUUUCUCAGUGUUCCGCACGUGGAGAGUGCGAUUGCCCAAUUUCCCUCAAUUUUCCCAAAGCAACUUCGAAAUCAGCCCAGUCAGGGAAGCGUGCACGACCCCGCCAAGCUUUUAUAUUUGCUUAACAUUAGAUUACCCUUCUCGAGGGUAUGUAGGUCGUCUAGUUUGUUCCCAGUUUCAGGAAUUUACGAUUAAGUCCCGCAGAAUUGAAUUUUCCAGGGGUUGGAAUAACUGCGUGCCGCCAUUCUGCAAGAAUUUCGAGUUGAACGGGAUCUCUGUUCCGUGAUUGGUCGGUGAUUUAUUCAGUCGUUUCUGGUAUCCGUGUGCAGUUGGUAACAGUAUUUUUGACGUUCUUAUAUUUGAUGUAUAAGUUCGUGCAAUAAAUUAUGCAUCUAUGGAUCUAUAAAUUUUGAUAAGAUAUUUUUUUUAUACGAUACAAAUUUUUUGAUUUGUGUGUUUUUCUUCUUUACAAUAUCGAUUUUCCUUUUUAUACGUUUAUAUAAAUGUUUUUGUGCAAAUGUCUUAAAUUACUAUUUUUUUUUCUAUAUAUAAUGUUUCUUUUUGAAGAGAUCCAGAUGUAUAAUUGAUCGAUAGUUUAAUACAAAAAGAAUAUCUUAGAAUCUCUCCUUGACAAAUUUAAAUUUGUUGGGACAAAAUAUCGUAAUUAUAUCACGUGAAAAAAUUAUAUCCAAUCAAAUAACGAAAUUAAUCAUUCUUGUUACGAAUUUUUCGAUCAAUAACAUUAAUAUUAUACAUUUUCAGAUCUCCUUCAACUACGAUAAUCAAGUAAUCGGAAGUUCUCUUAUUAUUUCGAAAAACUCAUGAAUGGAAAGUAAGACUUAAUCGUGCAGCUUUUCGCACGCCUCCAAACCGAGUUCUCGAGCAGCUGACGCGAUAAUUUAUCGGGCCGUUUAACUUUCGAGUUUCGUUCGCGUGAAACACGAGGGAAGAGGGAGAGGGAGAAAAAAACUCGAUACCAGGAAACCAGUUUCGAACAGACCGUGAUUUCAAUAGAUUCCACGACUCUCUAAACAUCGGUUCCUUCUCGAAUUUACUUACUUCAACCCAGAUCGAAUUUUACCUCGCAUUCUCACUUUGCAACACCUCUGAAAUUCACUCUGCGUAAUGGGUAUAAAAAAAAGAAGAAGAAGAAGAAAAAAAUAAGAAAAUAAAAAGUGGAGAGAUAGGAUGGAAGAGAAGAAACGGAAGAGAGAGACUUACGCUCCUUACACACAGGCGGAGAAAACGUGGCGCGUAAAUAGAGCGAAUAAAGGAGGUCGAGUUGAAAUGGGGUUGAAAAUUUGUAAAGAAGGGGAAAGGGUUUUUUUUUACGAGUUAAUGAAGGGAAGCCAGGGCAAGAAGGUUGAAAGUUAAUUAAGAACAGCCUGGAAGGAAUGAUUAUUUUUCUUUUUUUCUCUCUCUCUCUCUCUCUCUCUCUCUCUCCUUUCUUUGAUGAUCGUGCUUCGUUCUGUACAAUGAAAAUUUGUUGCAUUUCGUUAAAGAUUUUUUUUGUAAAUUGUGCUUAAAUGUAAAGGCUGAAUUGUUUGAAAAAAACAUAAGGAUGGUUUGAUCAUUAAUAUUUACAUAUAUGUGGACCAUUUUUGAUUAGAUUCAUAAUUUUAAUAAUAAAAAUUAUGUACUGUACUGUACAAUUUGAAGUGAAACUAAAUUGGAUGAAUUAAAAGAGAUUUAUAUUUGUGUGUACAAUGAUAUGAAAUGUUUCGAUCAAGAUAUUCAAAAUAUGAAUAUAAAAGGGUCGAAUUUGUUGCAAUUGAGUGUAGUUUCAAUGAAAGGGAAGCUUAUAACGAUCGAUUCCGAAUUCAUUAAAUUAUUUCUUCGUUACGUAUUUAUUAACCAUCGUGCCCAUUUUCAGCGAUGAAUUACGAUAGUUGGUAUACACGUUGCAUCGAGUAUAGGGAAAUUUUGAAUUGGAUGGAGAGCAACGUCGAUAUUAACGACAGUGAUUGCUGCAUUUUCUAUAAACUUCCAUCCAACGAACAAUUGUUUCAAUAAAUAAUUUUUUCGUAUAUUUUUUAAUUAUUCAAGAAUAUAAAUAUUAUGAUUGAUAUUAUGAUUGAUACGCAAAAAAUACUCGAUAUGAAAAAAGAAAUAAAGAAGAGAUAAAAAUAGAGAAACAAUGAUUGCGUUAAUCUCUUGAAAAAAUUUUAAAUAGUGGUAUAAAUAAUAUUAUAAUCGAUGUGCAAAAGAUUCGACAUGGAAAGAAGAUAAAAGUGAUUCCGUAAACCAUAAUCGUUUUAAAAAUGAAAAAUCGUGAGAUCGUUCGCAGAAUCUUCGAUUUUCCCAAGGAUAUCGAGCGAAAAGACGAUUUAACCAAUUCUAGAAAUAUUAUUUGUUGAGACUAUGGGAAUCAUUAGCGAGCAAUUUAUCGUGUCGUCGUAGGGAAAUCGAGCGUCCAAACACGGGGAAUCGAUAUUCCAUUACGGAGGAUCGGUGGUUCGCCAGAGAGAGGCACGAUAAGAGGGCAACUAUGGCGAACGGGGGUACCGCUUUCAAGAUGGAAGAUAGAAACGUCUGGGAAAUGAAACUUGGUUACUGAAAAGGUAUCUAUCUCGCUGCUUUCCGAGUUAAUUUCGUUGUACUUCCGUUCUUCGUGAUAAUUUUUCCACGAUCGAACCUGAUAUGUACAAGUUGAAAAUUUCUGGUAACUUUGCCAACAAUUCAUUAAUCUAAAUUUAUUUAAUUUUACAGAAUUAAACACGAAAGAAGAAAUCUGGUAAAUUCAUAGUCAAAUAUAUAAAUGAAAUUUUUUUGCAAAAUAAUAAUUCAGUUCGUUUUUUCAGCAGCAUGGAAUUUGAAAUCUAUCAGGAUGGAAUCAUAAAUGAUUUACAAAUCCAUACAAAUAUUAAAUUUAUAACCGAACAUGGUAUCGUAAUAAAUUGUUUUUGAGAUCCAAUCAAUUGAAUUCUCAACUGAAAAUGCUCUUGACAAUAUUUAUAUAUAUUUUAAAAUUUAAUCACGAAAUGGCACCACUUGAAAAUUGUUUAACGAGUACUAAGAAUAUUCAUUUCAUAAUUAUUUUCAUCGUUCAAAUUUACUUUUUACCAUUUCUCUUAAAUUAUUCGAGAAACAAUACGUGUAAUAAGACUUCUCGAUAUUAAAGACAAUCACCCUCAUCACGAACGUCAAUUAAUAAUUAUUAUCUAAUAAGGAUACUCGUAAACGGAUAUCUUUCUUUGUCAUUAAUUACCUGCUCGUUAAUGAUCAAUUACGAGCGUAUUUUUCGUCGACAAUAAAGCAAGAUCGAAAAACGAUGGAAAAGAAAAAGAAAGAAAAUCAUUUCUGGAAAUCGAGACAGUACCUAUUAAUCCCACGAUAAAUCCAUCGAUCAGUGGAUAUGAAUACUCAUCCUUAUUAUUCGCCAUUAAUCGGCUGGUAAUUAGCGAUUGCUAAUUGAGGUGUUCUUUCUUGAUACGCAAAUAAAAGCUGAUUCAAAAAUGGAGUUAAAAAAGAAACGAUAAAAAUGAAUUUCAUGGAAAUUGGUCUUUUUACCAAUGAUUAAUGGUGGAAUUGGUAAUUAAUAAAUGAAAAUUUAUAUUAGGACAUUGUGAAUGUAUUUUAAUUGAAAUUUGAACAUAAUUAGAUAAAUUAUAAGAAUUAUGUCAGAUAGAUGGAAUAGAUGUGCAUGAUAAUUCAAUCAAACAUUUAGACCAAAACUAAUUUUUAACAAAAGAAAUAAUUUAACAGAAUAACAAUGCAUUAUAUAAAUAAAAAUUGUGAUUCUACUUUAAUAGCUUAAUCUCGUAGAAUCUUGAAGAAUGCAUGGAUAAUAUUUUAUGAUUAAAAUCCACCUAAAAUUAAUCUUUUUCAAAGGUAAUAAUUUAACAGAAUAAUGUUGCAUUAUGUAAACCGAGAUUGUGAUUCAGAUUCUACAGUAUCCUUUCUAGUAGAAUUUAAAGCAAAUUCAUGGAUUUUCGAGCUGGUAGCCUACAAUGAAUUUCCCUACCGAACGAAUAUUUAGAAGGCGGGUCACAGAGAAGAACAACACGGAAUAGAGACACGAUGCUCGUUGGAAAUACUGAAUAGUCUUUCCACGGUCGUCGAAUAAGUCAACGUUUAACUCUUGUUAUUUGGAAAGACAUUUAUACUUUGCAGUAUCUCUUCCAAUUUCAUUUUAGAUGCUCUUGUUUUACUUCACAAAAUUAGUUUGACAAGUAUCUUAUUAAAAUAAAUUCUUUAAAACAAAUUUAAUUUAUCCGCUUUUUAAAAUUUAUCCAUUAUAUUAAAUUAAUGUACUUAUUUUAGGUAUAUUUACAAGUAAGAUCCAAAAAUAUUUCUUGUUCUCAAAUUUUUAAAAAAUUUUUAGAACCUACAAUUGUUAAAUUCCAGAUUAUACUCUGUAUUCUAGAAUUGUAUACUUGUUUUUUCAAGGAUCACACAAAUAUUUCAAUUCUAAAAUUUUCCUUUUUUAAAAAAAAAUCAUCAUUCUUUUAUUUCAUCCAAGCUUUCACAACUUUCUUUACUCCAAUAUCUCUAUUUCUACAAUUCCUAAAACUCACAUUAUUCUACAGACAUUAUUCUAAGAUAUUUAAUUCUUCCAGGAACCAUGUCUCAUUCCUUCCAUCUCACGUUUUCUUGCCAAAGUCAAAAAAUCGUCUCGUCCAAGAACAGGAGAACGCAUCAUUAUCACGCUGAGUGGAAGGACGAAAGGCGCACGCGUGGUGAUCGGCGUGCCUAUGUGCACAAGUACACAAAUAGCUCAUUAUGAACGAAGCCCGUACUUGGACCCGUCGCGCGCACUACGUAAUUGGGGUUAAUGAUCGUGUGUACACCAGUGCCUCUCCUACUUGUACGCGAACCACCACUCGACAACUUGGCCCGGACCAGGCAUUCCACUCUCUGGCCAUUAGCAAGUGUAAUGCCGGCCGUGGUAACACCUCGUUUCUUUGCCCAUUUCCCUCAUACUUCUACAUUUUCUUUGGCCUCAUCUUGACCGUUCAGGUUCUGCUCCAGGGAAUUUUCUUUUUUAGCUUCCUUUUCUUUUUUCCUUUUUUGUGAAAGUGGAGAAAUGGAAAUAGCUUUUGACAUUUUAAUGAGGGAUUGAGGGAUAGAUGAUUUGAAGAAAGAGAUAUCGGAAUAGUUUAUGAUUAGAAAUGUGGUGGUACUCGAUUAAUUGUAAUUUUUUUUUUUCUUUCUUGUGAAGAAAUAGAAAUGGAUGGCUUUUGAUAUUUUAAUAAGAGAUUAAGAAGUGGAUGAUUUGGAGAAAGAGAUUGAGUGAAUUUUACGAUUAGAAAUGCGAAUUAGAAUUUAAUUAACUACCGUGAAACGUGUUAAUUAUCUGAGGAAGCAUAAGCAUGCCAAAUUUUUGAGUAUAAUGUAAUCGAAUUAUGAUAAUUCAAAUCUAAAAAGAAAAAUAUAAUAAUCUGGAUAAUUCUGCAGAUUAAAUUUCUAUAUGUAACAAAUUUCUGAAAAUAAUUUUAAGAUAAAUAAAGUGAACUUGGAUAAGUAUCUGAAUAAUAAUUAUUCUAGAAUAUGAUAGUGAUUCAAAAUCUUUGACAAAUACUAUAUUAUAUAUGUACUAAAAUAUAUGUAAAACAAUAUAUUUACAUAAGAAAAAUUCA